UACGGAGGGUGCAAGCGUCGUCCGGAUUUAUUGGGUUUAAAGGGUGCGUAGGCGGACGAGUAAGUCCGGGGUGAAAGACGACGGCUCAACCGUCGCAGUGCCUUGGAUACUGCUUGUCUUGAGUACAGAUGAGGCUGAUGGAAUGGGUGGUGUAGCGGUGAAAUGCAUAGAUACCAUCCAGAACACCGAUUGCGAAGGCAGUCAGCUAAGCUGGAACUGACGCUGAGGCACGAAAGCGUGGGGAUCAAACAGG
This 253-nucleotide ribosomal RNA is filed under the name uncultured bacterium. Its description in RNAcentral is "partial 16S ribosomal RNA". It matches the Rfam family "Bacterial small subunit ribosomal RNA", at positions 524 to 776 of the family's 1533-position model. The record is from RNAcentral.